This 76-nucleotide small RNA is filed under the name Xanthomonas codiaei. RNAcentral's name for it is "sX9 sRNA". It matches the Rfam family "Xanthomonas sRNA sX9". Lineage: Bacteria; Pseudomonadati; Pseudomonadota; Gammaproteobacteria; Lysobacterales; Lysobacteraceae. The record is from RNAcentral.
AUGUACCCCUCGUACACUGCGGUUGCGGAUACGCCGUCCACGCCAGCUGGCAACUGCGCGCGAUGCGCCGUUGGCU